RNAcentral lists this ribosomal RNA (2042 nucleotides) under Escherichia coli. RNAcentral describes it as "partial 23S ribosomal RNA". It matches the Rfam family "Bacterial large subunit ribosomal RNA", at positions 1 to 2059 of the family's 2925-position model. The record is from RNAcentral. Lineage: Bacteria; Pseudomonadati; Pseudomonadota; Gammaproteobacteria; Enterobacterales; Enterobacteriaceae.
GGGUUGUGAGGUUAAGCGACUAAGCGUACACGGUGGAUGCCCUGGCAGUCAGAGGCGAUGAAGGACGUGCUAAUCUGCGAUAAGCGUCGGUGAGGUGAUAUGAACCGUUAUAACCGGCGAUUUCCGAAUGGGGAAACCCAGUGUGUUUCGACACACUAUCAUUAACUGAAUCCAUAGGUUAAUGAGGCGAACCGGGGGAACUGAAACAUCUAAGUACCCCGAGGAAAAGAAAUCAACCGAGAUUCCCCCAGUAGCGGCGAGCGAACGGGGAGGAGCCCAGAGCCUGAAUCAGUGUGUGUGUUAGUGGAAGCGUCUGGAAAGGCGCGCGAUACAGGGUGACAGCCCCGUACACAAAAAUGCACAUACUGUGAGCUCGAUGAGUAGGGCGGGACACGUGGUAUCCUGUCUGAAUAUGGGGGGACCAUCCUCCAAGGCUAAAUACUCCUGACUGACCGAUAGUGAACCAGUACCGUGAGGGAAAGGCGAAAAGAACCCCGGCGAGGGGAGUGAAAAAGAACCUGAAACCGUGUACGUACAAGCAGUGGGAGCCUCUUAAUGGGGUGACUGCGUACCUUUUGUAUAAUGGGUCAGCGACUUAUAUUCUGUAGCAAGGUUAACCGAAUAGGGGAGCCGAAGGGAAACCGAGUCUUAACUGGGCGUUAAGUUGCAGGGUAUAGACCCGAAACCCGGUGAUCUAGCCAUGGGCAGGUUGAAGGUUGGGUAACACUAACUGGAGGACCGAACCGACUAAUGUUGAAAAAUUAGCGGAUGACUUGUGGCUGGGGGUGAAAGGCCAAUCAAACCGGGAGAUAGCUGGUUCUCCCCGAAAGCUAUUUAGGUAGCGCCUCGUGAAUUCAUCUCCGGGGGUAGAGCACUGUUUCGGCAAGGGGGUCAUCCCGACUUACCAACCCGAUGCAAACUGCGAAUACCGGAGAAUGUUAUCACGGGAGACACACGGCGGGUGCUAACGUCCGUCGUGAAGAGGGAAACAACCCAGACCGCCAGCUAAGGUCCCAAAGUCAUGGUUAAGUGGGAAACGAUGUGGGAAGGCCCAGACAGCCAGGAUGUUGGCUUAGAAGCAGCCAUCAUUUAAAGAAAGCGUAAUAGCUCACUGGUCGAGUCGGCCUGCGCGGAAGAUGUAACGGGGCUAAACCAUGCACCGAAGCUGCGGCAGCGACACUAUGUGUUGUUGGGUAGGGGAGCGUUCUGUAAGCCUGUGAAGGUGUACUGUGAGGUAUGCUGGAGGUAUCAGAAGUGCGAAUGCUGACAUAAGUAACGAUAAAGCGGGUGAAAAGCCCGCUCGCCGGAAGACCAAGGGUUCCUGUCCAACGUUAAUCGGGGCAGGGUGAGUCGACCCCUAAGGCGAGGCCGAAAGGCGUAGUCGAUGGGAAACAGGUUAAUAUUCCUGUACUUGGUGUUACUGCGAAGGGGGGACGGAGAAGGCUAUGUUGGCCGGGCGACGGUUGUCCCGGUUUAAGCGUGUAGGCUGGUUUUCCAGGCAAAUCCGGAAAAUCAAGGCUGAGGCGUGAUGACGAGGCACUACGGUGCUGAAGCGACAAAUGCCCUGCUUCCAGGAAAAGCCUCUAAGCAUCAGGUAACAUCAAAUCGUACCCCAAACCGACACAGGUGGUCAGGUAGAGAAUACCAAGGCGCUUGAGAGAACUCGGGUGAAGGAACUAGGCAAAAUGGUGCCGUAACUUCGGGAGAAGGCACGCUGAUAUGUAGGUGAAGCGACUUGCUCGUGGAGCUGAAAUCAGUCGAAGAUACCAGCUGGCUGCAACUGUUUAUUAAAAACACAGCACUGUGCAAACACGAAAGUGGACGUAUACGGUGUGACGCCUGCCCGGUGCCGGAAGGUUAAUUGAUGGGGUUAGCGGUAACGCGAAGCUCUUGAUCGAAGCCCCGGUAAACGGCGGCCGUAACUAUAACGGUCCUAAGGUAGCGAAAUUCCUUGUCGGGUAAGUUCCGACCUGCACGAAUGGCGUAAUGAUGGCCAGGCUGUCUCCACCCGAGACUCAGUGAAAUUGAACUCGCUGUGAAGA